This 1585-nucleotide ribosomal RNA is filed under the name Salmonella enterica. Its description in RNAcentral is "partial 23S ribosomal RNA". It matches the Rfam family "Bacterial large subunit ribosomal RNA", at positions 1235 to 2802 of the family's 2925-position model. RNAcentral also lists the same sequence under 1 other name. Lineage: Bacteria; Pseudomonadati; Pseudomonadota; Gammaproteobacteria; Enterobacterales; Enterobacteriaceae. The record is from RNAcentral.
AGCGUUCUGUAAGCCUGCGAAGGUGGCCUGUGAGGGUUGCUGGAGGUAUCAGAAGUGCGAAUGCUGACAUAAGUAACGAUAAAGCGGGUGAAAAGCCCGCUCGCCGGAAGACCAAGGGUUCCUGUCCAACGUUAAUCGGGGCAGGGUGAGUCGACCCCUAAGGCGAGGCCGAAAGGCGUAGUCGAUGGGAAACGGGUUAAUAUUCCCGUACUUGGUGUUACUGCGAAGGGGGGACGGAGAAGGCUAUGUUGGCCGGGCGACGGUUGUCCCGGUUUAAGCGUGUAGGUGUGUGUUCCAGGUAAAUCCGGUUCACUUUAACACUGAGGCGUGACGACGAGGCACUACGGUGCUGAAGCAACAAAUGCCCUGCUUCCAGGAAAAGCCUCUAAGCAUCAGGUAACAUCAAAUCGUACCCCAAACCGACACAGGUGGUCAGGUAGAGAAUACCAAGGCGCUUGAGAGAACUCGGGUGAAGGAACUAGGCAAAAUGGUGCCGUAACUUCGGGAGAAGGCACGCUGACACGUAGGUGAAGUGAUUUACUCAUGGAGCUGAAGUCAGUCGAAGAUACCAGCUGGCUGCAACUGUUUAUUAAAAACACAGCACUGUGCAAACACGAAAGUGGACGUAUACGGUGUGACGCCUGCCCGGUGCCGGAAGGUUAAUUGAUGGGGUCAGCGCAAGCGAAGCUCCUGAUCGAAGCCCCGGUAAACGGCGGCCGUAACUAUAACGGUCCUAAGGUAGCGAAAUUCCUUGUCGGGUAAGUUCCGACCUGCACGAAUGGCGUAAUGAUGGCCAGGCUGUCUCCACCCGAGACUCAGUGAAAUUGAACUCGCUGUGAAGAUGCAGUGUACCCGCGGCAAGACGGAAAGACCCCGUGAACCUUUACUAUAGCUUGACACUGAACAUUGAGCCUUGAUGUGUAGGAUAGGUGGGAGGCUUUGAAGUGUGGACGCCAGUCUGCAUGGAGCCGACCUUGAAAUACCACCCUUUAAUGUUUGAUGUUCUAACGUGGACCCGUUACCCGGGUUGCGGACAGUGUCUGGUGGGUAGUUUGACUGGGGCGGUCUCCUCCUAAAGAGUAACGGAGGAGCACGAAGGUUGGCUAAUCCUGGUCGGACAUCAGGAGGUUAGUGCAAUGGCAUAAGCCAGCUUGACUGCGAGCGUGACGGCGCGAGCAGGUGCGAAAGCAGGUCAUAGUGAUCCGGUGGUUCUGAAUGGAAGGGCCAUCGCUCAACGGAUAAAAGGUACUCCGGGGAUAACAGGCUGAUACCGCCCAAGAGUUCAUAUCGACGGCGGUGUUUGGCACCUCGAUGUCGGCUCAUCACAUCCUGGGGCUGAAGUAGGUCCCAAGGGUAUGGCUGUUCGCCAUUUAAAGUGGUACGCGAGCUGGGUUUAGAACGUCGUGAGACAGUUCGGUCCCUAUCUGCCGUGGGCGCUGGAGAACUGAGGGGGGCUGCUCCUAGUACGAGAGGACCGGAGUGGACGCAUCACUGGUGUUCGGGUUGUCAUGCCAAUGGCACUGCCCGGUAGCUAAAUGCGGAAGAGAUAAGUGCUGAAAGCAUCUAAGCACGAAACUUGCCCCGA